GGAGUCGGACAGGCUGUCGCCGCGGACCGCAAGGCCCGGGGAGGAAAGUCCGGGCUCCGCAGGGCAGGACGCUGGAUAACGUCCAGCGGAAGCGAUUCCGGGAAAGUGCCACAGAAAACAAACCGCCCGCCGCAAGGCGGGUAAGGGUGAAACGGUGGGGUAAAAGCCCACCAGCGGUCGCGGUGACGCGGCCGGCUAGGCAAACCCCGUCCGGAGCAAGGCCAAAUAGGGAGGCGCAUACGGUCGGCCCGGCCGUUGCCUCCGGGUAGGCUGCUUGAGGCCUGGAGCAAUCCAGGCCCUAGAGGAAUGACGGCUGCCCCGCAAGGGGAACAGAACCCGGCUUAUCGUCCGACUCCAUGC
The sequence is a non-coding RNA, 360 nucleotides long. It matches the Rfam family "Bacterial RNase P class A". Rfam says of the family: Ribonuclease P (RNase P) is a ubiquitous endoribonuclease, found in archaea, bacteria and eukarya as well as chloroplasts and mitochondria. Its best characterised activity is the generation of mature 5'-ends of tRNAs by cleaving the 5'-leader elements of precursor-tRNAs. The record is from Rfam.